UACGGAAGGCAGCAGUGGGGAAUAUUGCACAAUGGGCGCAAGCCUGAUGCAGCCAUGCCGCGUGUAUGAAGAAGGCCUUCGGGUUGUAAAGUACUUUCAGUCGUGAGGAAGGUGUUAAGGUUAAUAACCUUAGCAAUUGACGUUAGCGACAGAAGAAGCACCGGCUAACUCCGUGCCAGCAGCCGCGGUAAUACGGAGGGUGCGAGCGUUAAUCGGAAUUACUGGGCGUAAAGGGCACGCAGGCGGUUAAUUAAGUUGGAUGUGAAAUCCCCGGGCUUAACCUGGGAAUGGCAUUCAAGACUGGUUAGCUAGAGUCUUGUAGAGGGGGUAGAAUUCCAUGUGUAGCGGUGAAAUGCGUAGAGAUGUGGAGGAAAUACCGGUGGCGAAGGCGGCCCCGUGGACAAAGACUGACGCUCAUGUGCGAAAGCGUGGGGAGCGAAACAGGAUUAGAUACC
RNAcentral lists this ribosomal RNA (455 nucleotides) under uncultured bacterium. Its description in RNAcentral is "bacterial SSU rRNA". It matches the Rfam family "Bacterial small subunit ribosomal RNA", at positions 340 to 786 of the family's 1533-position model. The record is from RNAcentral.